GUGCCAUGUCAUUCUGCACACCUGCUCCAGGCUACUUGUGGGCAAAGUUCAAAAGUAUGGCUAACCUUCUGGGGACAGUUCCCUCACCCUACCCAGGACCUUUGAAGAAGAGAAAGACAACACCAGAUGUGAGGAGGAAGGAAGCCCUCCCUGCCCUGUGCCCAGGGGCCUCCGCUCCCUCCACCCAUUGAAGUGUCUGCAGCUGCUCCUACUGCUCUCCUUGGUCGACCUUUCCAGACCUGCUGGCUCUCGAUCUACCAUUUGCAACACUGAGCGCUCUUGUCAUUGUACAUCUCAGGUCUGUCUUCGCUACUGGACUGUGAACUCCGAGACACACCUGUGUGUCUCAUCCACUGCCGCAUUCCUGUCGCUACCGUGGUGCCUGGCACCUGGUGAGCACGCAGGUGGGAGGACAACAGCUUAGACAGAUUCGUCUGUUUUACCACAUGGCUCUCCGGCAUGCACUCUGUUCGGCCCCAAGCUUGCAGCAGCAGGAAAAAAGGCUUCCUCCCUCGCCUCACCCAGGGGCAGCUGGGAUCUGCGGGGAGGUGUAUCAUAUCAAUUCAUGUAAAGGAGAGAUGCAUAGUACCAACAGAGAGCGCAGAAGAAGGUCAUGUGAUGAGUAUCUCUCUGUACCUCUCCUUCGUUGGUCGCCUGUCGCACCUCUGUGGCAUUCCUGUCCGGCUUGAUAUAAACUCUCGCUGCCUCUACCAGUCUCCGUAUCCUGCUUCAUCUCGAACUGUACUUUUUCGGCUCCCUAAAAGGUCUUCAUUACUUCCUCAGCUCUCAGCAGACCCUGCUCUCAGACCUACAUUGUGGAAGCCGGGACAGCAUUGA
RNAcentral lists this long non-coding RNA (837 nucleotides) under Fukomys damarensis (Damara mole-rat). RNAcentral's name for it is "lncRNA (ENSFDAG00000026385.1)". Lineage: Eukaryota; Metazoa; Chordata; Mammalia; Rodentia; Bathyergidae. The record is from RNAcentral.